Molecule: ribosomal RNA, 1396 nt
Filed under: metagenome
Description: bacterial LSU rRNA
Rfam family: Bacterial large subunit ribosomal RNA
Source: RNAcentral
AAAAAAUCCGCCUGUCAUAUACCGAGGCUGCCGAUCGAGCGAGCUUGCUCGCGAAGUGAUUGAACGAGGUUCCAGGAAAAGCCACUAAGCUUCAGCUACACACGACCGUACCGCAAACCGACACUGGUGCGCGAGAUGAGUAUUCUAAGGCGCUUGAGAGAACUCGGGAGAAGGAACUCGGCAAAUUGACACCGUAACUUCGGAAGAAGGUGUGCCCUAUUAGUGUGAAGUGAACAACGGAGCAUGAAUGGGUUGCAAAAAAUCGGUGGCUGCGACUGUUUAUUAAAAACACAGCACUCUGCAAACACGAAAGUGGACGUAUAGGGUGUGACGCCUGCCCGGUGCUGGAAGAUUAAAUGAUGGGGUGCAAGCUCUUGAUUGAAGUCCCAGUAAACGGCGGCCGUAACAAUAACGGUCCUAAGGUAGCGAAAUUCCUUGUCGGGUAAGUUCCGACCUGCACGAAUGGCGUAACGAUGGCCACACUGUCUCCUCCCGAGACUCAGCGAAGUUGAAAUGUUUGUGAUGAUGCAAUCUCCCCGCGGAAAGACGGAAAGACCCCAUGAACCUUUACUGUAGCUUUGUAUUGGACUUUGAACAGAUCUGUGUAGGAUAGGUGGGAGGCUUUGAAGCAGGGUCGCUAGAUCUUGUGGAGCCAACGUUGAAAUACCACCCUGGUGUGUUUGAGGUUCUAACCUAGGUCCAUUAUCUGGAUCGGGGACAGUGCAUGGUAGGCAGUUUGACUGGGGCGGUCUCCUCCCAAAGCGUAACGGAGGAGUUCGAAGGUACGCUAGUUACGGUCGGACAUCGUGACGAUAGUGCAAUGGCAUAAGCGUGCUUAACUGCGAGACUGACAAGUCGAGCAGAUGCGAAAGCAGGACAUAGUGAUCCGGUGGUUCUGUAUGGAAGGGCCAUCGCUCAACGGAUAAAAGGUACUCUGGGGAUAACAGGCUGAUACCGCCCAAGAGUUCAUAUCGACGGCGGUGUUUGGCACCUCGAUGUCGGCUCAUCUCAUCCUGGGGCUGUAGCCGGUCCCAAGGGUAUGGCUGUUCGCCAUUUUAAGAGGUACGUGAGCUGGGUUUAAAACGUCGUGAGACAGUUUGGUCCCUAUCUUCCGUGGGCGCUGCAGAUUUGAGGAAGCCUGCUCCUAGUACGAGAGGACCGGAGUGGACGCACCUCUGGUGUAUCGGUUGUCACGCCAGUGGCAUUGCCGAGUAGCUAUGUGCGGAAGAGAUAACCGCUGAAAGCAUCUAAGCGGGAAACUCGUUCCAAGAUGAGAUCUGCCGGGGCCUUGAGCCCCCUAAAGAGUCGUUCAAGACCAGGACGUUGAUAGGUCGGGUGUGGAAGCGCAGUAAUGCGUUAAGCUAACCGAUACUAAUUGCUCGUGCGGCUUGACCCC